GAAAUGCGAUAAUUAAUGUGAAUAGCAGAAUUCAGUGAAUCAUCGAGUCUUUGAACGCACAUUGCGCCCCCUGGUAUUCCGGGGGGCAUGCCUGUCCGAGCGUCAUUGCUGCCCUCAAGCACGGCUUGUGUGUUGGGCUUCCGUCCCUGGCAACGGGGACGGGCCCAAAAGGCAGUGGCGGCACCAUGUCUGGUCCUCGAGCGUAUGGGGCUUUGUCACCCGCUCCCGUAGGUCCAGCUGGCAGCUAGCCUCGCAACCAAUCUUUUUAACCAGGUUGACCUCGGAUCAGGUAGGGAUACCCGCUGAACUUAAGC
RNAcentral lists this unclassified non-coding RNA (314 nucleotides) under plant metagenome. RNAcentral's name for it is "partial contains 5.8S ribosomal RNA, internal transcribed spacer 2, and large subunit ribosomal RNA". The stretch from base 1 to 105 matches the Rfam family "5.8S ribosomal RNA", at positions 50 to 154 of the family's 154-position model. The record is from RNAcentral.